Molecule: ribosomal RNA, 926 nt
Filed under: uncultured bacterium
Lineage: Bacteria
Description: bacterial SSU rRNA
Rfam family: Bacterial small subunit ribosomal RNA
Source: RNAcentral
CUAACACAUGCAAGUCGAACGAAGAAUGCGGAGCUUGCUCUGCAAACUUAGUGGCGAACGGGUGAGUAACGCGUGAGUAACCUGCCUUAAAGAGGGGGACAACAGUUGGAAACGACUGCUAAUACCGCAUAAGCCCACACUACCGCAUGGUAGAGAGGGAAAAGAUUUAUCGCUUUAAGAUGGACUCGCGUCUGAUUAGCUAGUUGGUGGGGUAAUGGCCUACCAAGGCGACGAUCAGUAGCCGGACUGAGAGGUUGAUCGGCCACAUUGGGACUGAGACACGGCCCAGACUCCUACGGGAGGCAGCAGUGGGGGAUAUUGCACAAUGGGGGAAACCCUGAUGCAGCGACGCCGCGUGGAGGAAGAAGGUUUUCGGAUCGUAAACUCCUGUUGUCAGGGACGAUAAUGACGGUACCUGACAAGAAAGUGACGGCUAACUACGUGCCAGCAGCCGCGGUAAAACGUAGGUCACAAGCGUUGUCCGGAAUUACUGGGUGUAAAGGGAGCGCAGGCGGGAAGAUAAGUUGGAAGUGAAAUCUAUGGGCUCAACCCAUAAACUGCUUUCAAAACUAUUUUUCUUGAGUGGUGCAGAGGUAGGCGGAAUUCCUAGUGUAGCGGUGGAAUGCGUAGAUAUUAGGAGGAACACCAGUGGCGAAGGCGGCUUACUGGGCACUAACUGACGCUGAGGCUCGAAAGCAUGGGUAGCAAACAGGAUUAGAUACCCUGGUAGUCCAUGCCGUAAACGAUGAUUACUAGGUGUUGGAGGAUUGACCCCUUCAGUGCCGCAGCUAACGCAAUAAGUAAUCCACCUGGGGAGUACGACCGCAAGGUUGAAACUCAAAGGAAUUGACGGGGGCCCGCACAAGCAGUGGAGUAUGUGGUUUAAUUCGACGCAACGCGAAGAACCUUACCAAGUCCUGACAUGC